Hordeum vulgare subsp. vulgare (domesticated barley) is the source of this 861-nucleotide long non-coding RNA. RefSeq lists it as uncharacterized. The transcript is spliced from 3 exons. The record is from RefSeq and is a predicted model, not a curated record. NCBI's taxonomy places the organism in Eukaryota, Viridiplantae, Streptophyta, Magnoliopsida, Poales, Poaceae.
UGUAUUUUUAGACAUUUCAGUAGAAAACUAUAUACUCCAGCCGUCAGGAAAAAGUUGUCACCGUGCUAUUUUUGCAGGAACGCCCUUCCCUUUCUCCCGACACAACCCGCGAUCCAUGUCACUGCUCACAUCCCCUCCUGUGUCGCCGCCUGCUCCGUCGCGUCAUCGUCGGCCACCGCGCAACACACCCACGCCGCGCAGCUCCCCCGCGCGUCCUCCCGGUCCCCUGCACAGCUCCCCGCUGAUCCAUUUCCCACACAGCUCCCUCGGGCCUCCUCUCGGUCCAUAGCACAGGAAAAAUUGGUUAUUUCUCCUUUGGAUGACAUGGGGAUGGCGGGGAGGAUAGGUCCGGCGGCGGCGAGAUUCGUGUCCGCGUCUGGAAAGAUCAUCCUCAUCAGCGAGCACGCCUUUCGCUGUGUCCUUCAUCUUUGGCAGGGGAGGGAGGUCCCGGCGCGGUGGAGGUUAAUCUUACAGACUCGGGCCUAGCCUUCUCCUAGCCAUGCCCGCACCUCCUCGAGAGGCUGGGGGAGACCUGCCGCAAGGCGGAGCUGAAGGUCCCGAAGCCUUGCUCCAGGAAGAGUUGGCCGCCAUUGCCAAGCUGGUGGAACUGCAAGAGAUAAGGCCAAGUCAGCAGCUUUGUUCGUCCCACUGAAUAACCUAGGCUUUGUGAGAUUUGUGCAUCUUGGACUUCGACAUCCCUUUUACGAUGAUAAUGGUUACAUGGCAAGUUGUUCUAAUUGUUGUUCCUGCUGUGAUUGGGGUGUUGUACAUUCAGUAAAUAGCAAUGCUACAUUGACAUGGAUGCAACAAUCAGGCGACAAACAGGUUCAUUUAGACAAAUGGCUCAGCACUGAACUUUUA